RNA transcript from Amborella trichopoda, 4594 nucleotides. It is a transcript of the gene named lysine-specific demethylase JMJ29, with no coding region annotated. The record is from RefSeq and is a predicted model, not a curated record. NCBI's taxonomy places the organism in Eukaryota, Viridiplantae, Streptophyta, Magnoliopsida, Amborellales, Amborellaceae.
UCAUUCAUUCUCUUCUUCUCUCCUCUUCGAAGCUCUGCUUUUUCCUCUGUUUUCCAUGUGUUUUUCGCUUCUUUAUCCUCAUUGAGCUCUGAACCCCUCUGUUUUGCCCUAAUCUGAUCUUUUAUAUCCCCGUUUUUUGUUCUGGUUCUCCGUUUUUGGUUCCUUUUUCUUGGAGCCAAGAGUCGGUUUGUAUCUCUCGUUCCUCAGGCCUGUACUUUGGUUUUAUUUUUUUAACCCCCAUUUUUGCUGGUUUAUUUUCAGUAGCUUGAUAAUGAAGGAAGAUGCGUUCUUUGUCCCUGCUCCUAAUGACCUACGCUGCGAAAAAACCAUUGGGGUGGGGAGGUGCAAGAACUGGCGCGUUCAUGAUAUGCUUAUUUGUGAAAAACAUUUAAAGAUGGAAAUCAAGGCAAAAGUAUCCAGAACUUCUGCAAAGAACAAGGGCUCACAAUGCAAGACCAGAGACCAAAUGGGAAACGGAUGUGCGGAUUAUGUUUCAGAAAAGCCGAAAAAGAAGGAGGUUGUGCAUCAAAAAAACAAGCAAGAGGAGGAGGUUCUGCUUGAACAUGGCGCUGGGAAUUCUAUAUCAGGUCCUAAAGAGAAGCAGGAGGUAAAGGUUCUACUCGAGAUCAGUAAUGGAAAUUCUCUCUGCAGAAACAGGUCAAGGGAAAGCGAACAAAGUUCUGAUGAAGAGAGAAUGGCUGAGAAUAUGGCAUCUGCAAAGAAGAAGCGCAACAAGAAGGGGUUCAGUAAUGACGAUGGUGGUUUUAGGGCUACCAAGAUAUCAAAGUUAAAGAAGAAGAUGACGCUGAAAGAACCAGAUGAGGAGGAUGAAUUGAAAGAUGACUUCAUCGAAUCAACUAGUAGAAAUUCUCUCUCUAAAAAGAGUUCAAGGGAAAUUGAUCGAAGCUCCGCUGAAGAGAGAGUGGCUGAGAAUAUAGCAUCUGCAAAUAAGAAGCCUAGCAAGAAGGGGUUCAGUAUUGACGAUGGUGCGUUUAGGGCUCGCAAGAUAUCAAAGAUAAAGAAGAAGAUAAAGAUGAAAGAAUCAGAAGAGGAUGAAUUGAAAGAUGAUUCCAACAAAUCAACACGUAAAUCUUUCACUCCUAGCGAUGGAGUUGGGGCUUCUCAAAUGGAGCCAGAAAUUUUGGGCUCGGAUAAUGGAGUUCUGGCUUGUGGGUCUGAGCCAAAGAUGGAGUUUGCAGCUAUUUCUUACUCUAGACGCAAGGUUAAGGCACUAAACAAUGGGCAAUAUACAGUAGAAAACCCCAAGGAAAUUGCAGAGAUUUCUCAGGCAAAGCAAUUGCGUAAACUCAGGCCAAGAAACAAUGUAUUCAGCGAGCGUAGGCCACAAAAGAAAGUACAAUGCACAGUUGAAAAACCAAAGAAGGCACUACCGGGUUUCAGCAACAUGUGCCAUCAAUGCCAAAGAAAUGACAAGGGAAGGGUGGUGAGGUGCACCAAAUGUGAUAGAAAGCGCUACUGCAUACCUUGCAUAACGAGAUGGUACCCUCUGUUGUCGGAGGAGAGUAUAGCGGAGGAAUGUCCUGUCUGUGUUGGGAAUUGCAAUUGCAAGGCAUGCUUGCGUUUGGAUAAAUGCCAACAGAGUCAUUCGAAAGAGAUAAGUAAAGAGGAAAAAAUUCGUCAUCUUCAGUAUUUGAUACACAAGGUCUGUCCCUUGCUCAGGCAAAUUCAUCAAGAACAAGAAGCAGAGAUGGAAUUAGAGGCUACCAUUCAAGGAGUACCUCCAUCUGAUAUACAGGUUCAACAGGCAGUUUGUUAUGAUGAUGAGCGUUUGUAUUGUAACAACUGCAGCACAUCCAUUGUGGAUCUACAUCGGAGCUGUCCAAACUGUUCAUAUGAUCUCUGUCUAAAAUGUUGCCAAGAUCUACGCGCAGGCUUCAGCCUUGGAGGUGGUGAAGAAGUUCAUUUGGAGUUUGUGUCAAGAGAGAAAACUUAUGUGCAUGGUGGGAGGCUUCAUUUGGGCAGUGAGAGGAAAAAGGAGUCUAAUGGCAUCAGGUCUUCUUCAUGCGAAGAUGUGCUGGCCUUUGAAUGGAAAACUGACAAUUAUGGCAACAUCUCUUGCCCUCAUACAAAGAUGGGAGGAUGUAGUGCUGGCCUUUUGGAACUAAAGUGUAUAUUUCAGGGCAAUUGGUUGUCCGAGCUGCUAGUUAAAGCUGACAAAAUGGCUAGCAUAUUCAGAUCUUCAGAGCUAUCAGAUAAUUUUGAUCCGUGCUCCUGUUCAAGUGAAAUAAUGAAUGGAGUUAAGGAAUUGCUUCGUAAAGCAGCUGAUAGAGAAGAAUCUGACGACAAUUAUAUUUACUGUCCAAUUGCUAGAGAUAUUAAAAAUGGAGACCUUGAGCACUUUCGAAUGCAUUGGACUAAUGGUGAGCCAGUGAUAGUACGCAAAUGUCUUGAUAGUAAACUGGGUCUGAGCUGGGAGCCAAUGGUCAUGCAUCGUGCAUUUCGUGAGAGGACUAACUCCAAAAUUGGAAUCGAGUUGCUCGAGGUGACUGCCAUUGAUUGUAUGGAUUGGCGUGAGGUUGAUAUUAAUAUUCAUCAGUUUUUCAAAGGUUACAUGGGGGACCGUGUGCCUCGUGGUGAGCAGCCAGCAAUGUUGAAGCUGAAGGAUUGGCCCCCAUCAAAUUUCUUCAAUGAGCUUUUGCCUCGCCAUGGUGCUGAGUUCGUUAGUGGGUUGCCAUUUCAGGAAUACACAAAUCCCAAAGUCGGUGUCCUUAAUCUUGCUGCAAAGCUUCCUGAGAAAUUCCUUAAGCCAGACUUAGGACCAAAAACUUAUAUUGCAUAUGGGAAUGCAGAUGAACUUGGCAGAGGAGACUCUGUAACCAUGCUGCACUGUGAUAUGUCUGAUGCGGUAAAUGUGCUGACACAUACAGCAGAGGUUGAGUUUUCUUCUGAACACUUGACUUGGAUAGAAGAGCUAAAGAACCAGCACAACACCGCAGAUAAAAUGGAAGCCCUUAAUGCCUGUGGAAUGAAUAAGAAAAGGGUUAAUCCGGGGCGCAGAAAAAGGGAAACACUUUCUAUAGAUGGGAAGGCCAUAGCGACUGGUUUAUCUGAUUCCAAAAGAAGAAAUGGUUCAAAUCUUGAUGUUGGAACUGGCCAGGAGGAAAACAUUUGCUUGCAUGAAGUGAAGGUUGAAACUUGUGAAGAGCACUGUAUCAAAACUAUGGAGAUAACAGGGGAUACUGGCUUUCCUGACUUUAUUUCUACAGCAAAGAGAACUGUUGAUGUUGCAAUUGUGGAGAGUAAUGGUUGGGAGACUGGUUGCCCUGGCAUCAAACAUAACGGUAAGGAUGGCGAGAGAAAAGGCGAUGCUGGUGCAUCUGUUGUUGGGCGAGAGGUGAUGGAGGUUGAUGAAGAUAUGGAUGAUGAACAUAGUUGUUCCAGGAAGUCUGAAGACUUGAAAAGAAAUCCUCAGAUGAAGGACAAAGAGCGGCCUGAAGUUUCUGCCAGUGAAUUGAAACUAAAGCGUGAGUUUGGUGGUGCUCUAUGGGACAUAUUUCGAAGGAAGGAUGUGCCAAAGCUGGAGGCAUACCUAAAAAAGCAUUCAAAGGAAUUUGGACAUGCUUCGGAUUGCCCACUUAAAGAGGUUAUUCAUCCCAUUCAUGAUCAGAGAUUCUAUUUAGGAGUGGAACACAAAAAGAAGCUUAAGGAAGAAUUUGGAGUGGAACCUUGGACCUUUGAACAACAUCUGGGGGACGCAGUCUUUAUUCCUGCUGGCUGCCCUCACCAAGUUCGAAAUGUGAAGUCUUGUAUUAAAGUUGCCAUGGACUUUGUGUCGCCGGAGAAUGUCUAUGAGUGCAUUAGAUUGACUGACGAGUUUCGGUUGCUUCCAAAGCACCAUCGAGGCAACGAAGAUAAGUUAGAGGUUCGGAAGAUUUGUGUCUAUGCGGUGAGCCAUGCAUUGGAAGAGAUCAAGAACUUGAAUUCCGCCACAGAAUCUGAACAAGGAUAUAAAGAGGUGCAGUCAGCCAUGCACAAGAAACAACAGUCGAAGCGCAAGAGAAGCACGUCCAACUGUUGAUCCCAAAGAAAUCUCCAUUCCCAGCAAAUGGAAACCCAAGGACUACCUUCCUCCCAUAUUUGAAGAAGCUGAGACUACGAUUGACGAAGUGUGCAUCUAAGACUUGGGGUGCCAGAUUUUGUAUGCUCUCUCAUCCUCCUAAUUGAGGAACACUGUGCAUGCCAAGGAGGUGUCUAUGUUUGUUAGGCCUCUCUAAUUUUGGUGGAUUGAAGAGUGUGCCAAAUUCUGCUCUCUCCAUGAUAACCGUGGGCUGCUCUCUCAAUUCAUUGUGACCACCAAGGGAUCACUCUUUGCUUGUCUCUCUCGAAGGGGCUACACGCUACUGUUACAGAUAUUCACUUCCUUUCUUUAAAUGCGCUCUCCACUUGUAUACUCAAUACUGUUGACAUUCUUCAUGGGCAUUCUUGUAUGAUUUUAGGCAACUUUUGAAGCAAUGAAUUGAAUAUAUGUGCAUGUGGAUUAUUCACCCACUACAUCUCCAUCUUGCAUAUGGGUUUGUGGAUCAUUUACCCUCUCUAUCUGGCUCAACACUUGGCGUGGAAAUGAUUAGGAAGG